This 242-nucleotide unclassified non-coding RNA is filed under the name uncultured fungus. RNAcentral's name for it is "partial contains small subunit ribosomal RNA, internal transcribed spacer 1, and 5.8S ribosomal RNA". The stretch from base 1 to 73 matches the Rfam family "Eukaryotic small subunit ribosomal RNA", at positions 1759 to 1831 of the family's 1831-position model. Lineage: Eukaryota; Fungi. The record is from RNAcentral.
GCAAACUUGGUCAUUUAGAGGAAGUAAAAGUCGUAACAAGGUCUCCGUAGGUGAACCUGCGGAGGGAUCAUUAUCGAGUGGUUGCCUUCUGGCUUCUACCCCUUGAAACCGUGGAAGGGAAGCAUGCUUUGGUGCCGUGAGCGCCAGAUUUAUACCGUAAGCAAGUUUGGCUCUGAACAAAACAUGAAACGAAAACUUUCAACAAAGGAUCUCUUGGCUCUUGCAUCGAUGAAGAACGCAGC